AGUAAACGCUGGCGGUAGGCCUAACACAUGCAAGUCGAACGGCAGCACAGUAAGAGCUUGCUCUUACGGGUGGCGAGUGGCGGACGGGUGAGGAAUACAUCGGAAUCUACUUUUUCGUGGGGGAUAACGUAGGGAAACUUACGCUAAUACCGCAUACGACCUACGGGUGAAAGCAUGGGAUCUUCGGACCUUGCGCGAUUGAAUGAGCCGAUGUCGGAUUAGCUAGUUGGCGGGGUAAAGGCCCACCAAGGCGACGAUCCGUAGCUGGUCUGAGAGGAUGAUCAGCCACACUGGAACUGAGACACGGUCCAGACUCCUACGGGAGGCAGCAGUGGGGAAUAUUGGACAAUGGGCGCAAGCCUGAUCCAGCCAUACCGCGUGGGUGAAGAAGGCCUUCGGGUUGUAAAGCCCUUUUGUUGGGAAAGAAAAGCAGCAGGUUAAUACCUCGCUGUUCUGACGGUACCCAAAGAAUAAGCACCGGCUAACUUCGUG
Molecule: ribosomal RNA, 492 nt
Filed under: uncultured bacterium
Lineage: Bacteria
Description: partial 16S ribosomal RNA
Rfam family: Bacterial small subunit ribosomal RNA
Source: RNAcentral